GCCCCGGUAGCUCAGUUGGAUAGAGCGAGAGCCUUCUAAGCUCUAGGUCACAGGUUCGAUUCCUGUCCGGGGUACCA
Molecule: transfer RNA, 77 nt
Filed under: Candidatus Peregrinibacteria bacterium CG10_big_fil_rev_8_21_14_0_10_55_24
Lineage: Bacteria; Candidatus Peregrinibacteriota
Description: tRNA-Arg
Rfam family: tRNA
About the family: Transfer RNA (tRNA) molecules are approximately 80 nucleotides in length. Their secondary structure includes four short double-helical elements and three loops (D, anti-codon, and T loops).
Source: RNAcentral